AGGCGGAGCUGGGUGAAGCCGAUGGAGCGGAGUUGCAGCACCUGGUGGCCGCCGAACAGCAGAAGGCGCAGUUUACUGCACAGGUGCAUCACUUCAUGGAGUUAUGUUGGGAUAAAUGUGUGGAGAAGCCAGGGAAUCGCCUGGACUCUUGCACUGAAAAUUGUCUCUCCAGCUGUGUAGACCACUUCAUUGACACCACUCUUGCCAUCACCAGUCGGUUUGCCCAGAUUGUACAGAAAGGAGGGCAGUAG
RNAcentral lists this long non-coding RNA (251 nucleotides) under Homo sapiens (human). Its description in RNAcentral is "non-protein coding lnc-CCDC160-3:1". Lineage: Eukaryota; Metazoa; Chordata; Mammalia; Primates; Hominidae. The record is from RNAcentral.